RNAcentral lists this long non-coding RNA (1067 nucleotides) under Chinchilla lanigera (long-tailed chinchilla). Its description in RNAcentral is "lncRNA (ENSCLAG00000024514.1)". Lineage: Eukaryota; Metazoa; Chordata; Mammalia; Rodentia; Chinchillidae. The record is from RNAcentral.
GCCCAGGCUGGCCUUGAAUCCGCAGGUAUCUUCCUGCCUUAGCCUCCUGAGUGCCAUGUUGAAAGAUGAGCUCCACCAAGCUCAGCCUGAUUCCCUUGGAUCUUACCCCAGCUUGUGUUUGGAUUUCUCCACAGCCCUUGGAUGUCUAUCUGACCUCACUGUGGUCACCAUGGCGGUACCGCUCAGCCCAGAUCUGGGGGCUGAAAUGGAUGUGGGAGAAUUCGAAGAGGAUAUGAGCUCUCGCAUGGGAGAGCAUGAGCUGCGAUUUGAAGACUGUAGAUCAGGUUCUGUUAGACCUGGAGCAGCUCUCGGCUCCCUGAACAACAAGGAGCUGAAACGUGGGGCCAUGAGGUCCAGAGAUGACGUUGACUCUCUGCUGGGGGAGAGGCUGCACCCCGAGGAGCGGGAGCUGCCUGCACAGCUGCCCCUGGCCGAGCAGCUGAGGUAAGGGGCUGUGCGGGUGGUCGGGGAAGGUGUGUGAGUCCCUGAAAGGGGCAGCUGGGCUGUGAGAAGCAAGAGCAGGCGAGGGCCAGGGAGCACAGGACCCCACAGACAUGGGCUCCGGGUACUCAUAAAACAUGCAGGGAAGAAAGGUGACAGGUGAUGCACUUGGAUUGCUCUGAAGACCUUCAUUUGUGCUUUUCCAAAAUGCAUUGAGGUCAGUUUCACACAGUAUAAAAUGAAGGAAAAGACAGUGAACAGCUGUGUGCUGACUGUGGAGGGGCAGCCUGGGUGUGGUGCUGUCCGUCCCCAUCCCUCUUCCUCCCGGGCACCGUGUGCCUGGUGAAGGCAGGUCCCACUUCAUGCACAGGAGCCGUGGCUUCCUGAGCCUGCAGAGCUCUGCUCCUGCAUUUUCCCAGCAGCCCCAGCUGUAUGUGGACACGUGUCUGUGUCGGGUGUGCGUCCCACUCUGCACAGGACGCUGAGUCUCUGUGGACAGGGAUGGAGAGAUCUGGCUUGGAUGACAGAGGAAGAGAUGAGGGCCAUGUCGGGGAUCCUACAAGAGCAUCGGCCAGGAGGGAGAGCUGUUAAUUUACCUCCUUUGCCUUUGCCACAGGAGACUGUCC